This 253-nucleotide ribosomal RNA is filed under the name uncultured bacterium. Its description in RNAcentral is "partial 16S ribosomal RNA". It matches the Rfam family "Bacterial small subunit ribosomal RNA", at positions 524 to 776 of the family's 1533-position model. The record is from RNAcentral.
UACGUAGGUGGCAAGCGUUGUCCGGAUUUACUGGGCGUAAAGAGCGCGCAGGCGGUCGUUCAAGUCGGGGGGGAAAGCCCCCGGCUCAACUGGGGAGGGUCACGCGAUACUGAUCGACUCGAAGGCAGGAGAGGGUAGUGGAAUUCCCGGUGUAGUGGUGAAAUGCGUAGAUAUCGGGAGGAACACCAGUGGCGAAGGCGACUACCUGGCCUGUUCUUGACGCUGAGGCGCGAAAGCUAGGGGAGCAAACGGG